This 327-nucleotide ribosomal RNA is filed under the name Burkholderia sp. SM58. RNAcentral's name for it is "bacterial SSU rRNA". It matches the Rfam family "Bacterial small subunit ribosomal RNA", at positions 214 to 538 of the family's 1533-position model. Lineage: Bacteria; Pseudomonadati; Pseudomonadota; Betaproteobacteria; Burkholderiales; Burkholderiaceae. The record is from RNAcentral.
CGCGCUUUGGGGUUGGACGAUGGCUGAUUAGCUAGUUGGUGGGGUAAAGGCCUACCAAGGCGACGAUCAUUAGCUGGUCUGAGAGGACGACGAGCCACACUGGGACUGAGACACGGACCAUACUCCUACGGGAGGCAGCAGUAGGGAAUUUUGAACAAUGAGUGAAAGCCUGAUCCAGCUAUGCCGCGUGUGUGACGAAGGACUUCAGGUCGGUAGCACUAUUGACGGAAAGAAAACUUGACUCUAAUACCGUCGGUGGAUGAAGAUAGCUAACAAUAAGCACAAUCUCAGUACGUGCCCGCACCUCGGUAACACUUAAAGUACGAG